AUGACCACAUUAGGUUGAAAUACUGGUUCUCGUAUGAUCCCCGAAAUUAAGCAACCUCCAGCCUGGUCUGUACCUAGGUAGGUGACCGCUUGGGAAUACCAAAUGCUGUAAG
Molecule: non-coding RNA, 112 nt
Organism: Acanthosepion pharaonis
Lineage: Eukaryota; Metazoa; Mollusca; Cephalopoda; Sepiida; Sepiidae
Source: the annotation of a GenBank genome assembly